Molecule: ribosomal RNA, 327 nt
Filed under: uncultured eukaryote
Lineage: Eukaryota
Description: partial 18S ribosomal RNA
Rfam family: Eukaryotic small subunit ribosomal RNA
Source: RNAcentral
CCCUUAGAUGUUCUCGGCCGCACGCGCGCUACACUGAAAGAGGCAACGUGUUUGCCUGAUUCGAAAGAAUUGGGUAACCCCCUAAUCUCUUUCGUGCUGGGGAUUGAGGUUUGCAAUUAUCCUUCAUGAACGAGGAAUUCCCAGUAAGUGCGAGUCAUUAUCUCGCGCUGACUACGUCCCUGCCCUUUGUACACACCGCCCGUCGCUACUACCGAUUGAAUGAUUUAGUGAGGACUUCGGACUGAGUCCAAUGCGGCUUUCGGGCUGCGUUGGUAUUUCGGAAAGAUGUCCAAACUGUAUCAUUUAGAGGAAGUAAAAGUCGUAACA